GUCGAUAACGAACGAGACCUCGACCUGCUAAAUAGUUGGGCGCACCCCUUCAAGGGUGUGACCCCUAACUUCUUAGAGGGACUAUUGUUGAUUAGACAAUGGAAGUUCGAGGCAAUAACAGGUCUGUGAUGCCCUUAGAUGUUCUGGGCCGCACGCGCGCUACACUGACAGGUUCAGCGAGCUUGUGGAUGCCCGAGAGGGUUUCCUAAUCUUUUUAAAGCCUGUCGUGCUGGGGAUAGAUUGUUGUAAUUGUUAAUCUUCAACGAGGAAUUCCUAGUAAACGCAAGUCAUCAACUUGCAUUGAUUACGUCCCUGCCCUUUGUACACACCGCCCGUCGCUAGUACCGAUUGAAUGGGUA
This 359-nucleotide ribosomal RNA is filed under the name Eukaryota sp. RNAcentral describes it as "SSU rRNA". It matches the Rfam family "Eukaryotic small subunit ribosomal RNA", at positions 1324 to 1699 of the family's 1831-position model. The record is from RNAcentral.